This 702-nucleotide long non-coding RNA is filed under the name Linum usitatissimum (flax). RNAcentral describes it as "long non-coding RNA (LUSI_LNC006054)". The record is from RNAcentral. Lineage: Eukaryota; Viridiplantae; Streptophyta; Magnoliopsida; Malpighiales; Linaceae.
GGGGGGGGGUACAAUUGAAAAUUAGAAAGUAAUAAGAAGUUACGUUGUUGGUUAAACCUCAUCGCUUGUUGUGCAAUGGGUUCGACCCGGUCGGAACCCGUCGCUUCUCCGACCGAAACUCCGGCACUUUCCUUUUCCUUGCUCCGGCUCCGACCCCAGAACCACCGGGCCGGAAAAACUGCGUAGUAGUCGCCGUCGACGGACCGGGAAAUCCCCUUAUCGUCCGGAUCGCUUCUACACACGAGGGAGAAAACAUUGCGGAGACGAACAUGACAAGAAAGGAAACGAGAAUCAACCGGAGACAAAAGCACGUCAUGAUGCUCUGUUUUUCGUUGACUCUGUUCUUUUUUGGGAUGAGAAGGGAAAAGGGAGAUGAAGGGGAGCUUUGAUCUAUAUAUAAGGUUGGUGGGUAAUGGUUUUGAAGUUUUGGGGGAGAUUGGUAAUGGAGAUUUUGGAGAUUGGAUGAAGACUGAAUACGGUGAUGGGUUAUAUGUGAACAGAGACUCUGUUUUGAUGACGAGUGACAGCCAUGGAAUUCCCUGUAGUAAAGGGGGAGGGGGGAUCGGGUCAAUGAAAGGGAUGACGGUUUGGGGACGGUGUUGCGUGGUCAAAGAAUGAAAGAUGGCUACUUGGGAGAAGGAUGAUGAUUGUGAAUGUUUAUGAAAUAUUUAUGUGUAGAAAUCUAAGCUUUGAGCUAUACUA